This 585-nucleotide ribosomal RNA is filed under the name uncultured bacterium. RNAcentral's name for it is "bacterial SSU rRNA". It matches the Rfam family "Bacterial small subunit ribosomal RNA", at positions 338 to 916 of the family's 1533-position model. The record is from RNAcentral.
CCUACGGGAGGCAGCAGUGGGGAAUUUUGGACAAUGGGCGCAAGCCUGAUCCAGCAAUGCCGCGUGCAGGAUGAAGGCCUUCGGGUUGUAAACUGCUUUUGUACGGAACGAAAAAGUCUGCCCUAAUACGGUGGGCCCAUGACGGUACCGUAAGAAUAAGCACCGGCUAACUACGUGCCAGCAGCCGCGGUAAUACGUAGGGUGCGAGCGUUAAUCGGAAUUACUGGGCGUAAAGCGUGCGCAGGCGGUUAUAUAAGACAGAUGUGAAAUCCCCGGGCUCAACCUGGGACCUGCAUUUGUGACUGUAUAGCUAGAGUACGGUAGGGGGGGAUGGAAUUCCGCGUGUAGCAGUGAAAUGCGUAGAUAUGCGGAGGAACACCGAUGGCGAAGGCAAUCCCCUGGACCUGUACUGACGCUCAUGCACGAAAGCGUGGGGAGCAAACAGGAUUAGAUACCCUGGUAGUCCACGCCCUAAACGAUGUCAACUGGUUGUUGGGUCUUCACUGACUCAGUAACGAAGCUAACGCGUGAAGUUGACCGCCUGGGGAGUACGGCCGCAAGGUUGAAACUUAAAGGAAUUGACGG